Non-coding RNA from Peniophora sp. CONT, 85 nucleotides. The record is from Rfam. Lineage: Eukaryota; Fungi; Basidiomycota; Agaricomycetes; Russulales; Peniophoraceae.
GGCCGCCUGGCGAAAUGGCAUCGCGUCUGACUACGAUUUCCGUAUUGUAAUCAGGAGAUUGCAGGUUCGACCCCUGCGGUGGUCA